CCCUUAGAUGUCCGGGGCCGCACGCGCGCUACACUGAAGGAAUCAGCGUGGCUUUCUCCCUGACCCGAAAGGGUUGGGAAACCCGUUGAAUCUCCUUCGUGAUAGGGAUUGGGGCUUGAAAUUGUUCCCCAUGAACGAGGAAUUCCCAGUAAGCGCGAGUCAUAAGCUCGCGUUGAUUACGUCCCUGCCCUUUGUACACACCGCCCGUCGCUACUACCGAUUGAAUGGUUCGGUGAAGAUCUCGGACUUCGAUAUUUGUUCUUCAUUGAACUUAUAUAGUGGGAAGUUAUCUGAACCUCAUCAUUUAGAGGAAGGUGAAGUCGUAACA
RNAcentral lists this ribosomal RNA (328 nucleotides) under uncultured eukaryote. Its description in RNAcentral is "partial 18S ribosomal RNA". It matches the Rfam family "Eukaryotic small subunit ribosomal RNA", at positions 1470 to 1796 of the family's 1831-position model. The record is from RNAcentral.